This 728-nucleotide long non-coding RNA is filed under the name Phasianus colchicus (ring-necked pheasant). RNAcentral's name for it is "lncRNA (ENSPCLG00000007937.1)". The record is from RNAcentral. Lineage: Eukaryota; Metazoa; Chordata; Aves; Galliformes; Phasianidae.
AUUUUAUUUAGUGGGUUUCAACUCUUUAUAAAUUUGGUUUAUUUCGGGUAUUCAGUUCCAAACCCAAAAGGACAUGGUUGCCAUUUUAUUGCUCUGUUAUUCCUGUAUAAUAUCAACAGGACAAGAAAAAAAGAAGGAAAAAUGUAAACAGGAGUUAAAUCCCUUCUACUUUAUGUGCUCAAGAGGCUCCUUUCUGUGUCAGUCUUCGAUAAGCUAAAAGUUUCCAGAGUCCUGCAUCACAUAAUUUUUACCUUUGGUCCCCAGAGCAGCAGACACCAGCGUAAGAGGAGACGCCUGCCACUAUCCGUAUUGCUGGUGUGUGAGUUUGAACAUCAAAAUCUAAAGUUCCGAUCCUCUUCUUCAUUAGAAAAGUAUUGAGUGCCUACCUCAAGUUUACCUACACAGAGUUUUUGCAGGUUUAUUAGCCAUAUUUCCGUGAAGAACAAGAAAGUAUGAUUUUAAUGAGCUUUAUUUACAAAUUUAACAUAGCCUGACCAUAUUUGAAUGACUCUGUAACAAGUAAAACCUUUGAUUUAUAAAACAAAUCCUUGCUCACAAAUAGUUGUCAUUGAUAUGCCAGUCUGGAAACAAGAAGAUCCCACACAUACAUACAGGACCCAGUUCUGCAUUUAUGCCCCACACAAUCUCCAUUAACCUCAGAGACCUCAGACUUACAUCAGCGUGAAUGACAUGAUAAGCAAAACAAUAAAAGGAGUUGAAUUUUCCCA